UCGGAGUGUGGGGGAGUCCGGGCCCUGCACCCCCACUUCCUGUGAUUCACCUUGACUCUCAGCCAGCCAGUAAAGCAGAAGGUUUAUUAGACGAGAGGAACACAGUCCCAAGCAGGGCUUGUAGGUACAACCAGGGCCCCUCAGCCAGGUCCCUCUGGGGGCAGGGUGCUUAGACCCCAGACCUGGGUUCCUGCCUCUUCCCAGCCAGCCCCAAACUGAAACUAAAAAUCUCUCCAGCAGGCUCUCCUCCUUUGUCCAGCUUCCUGGGCAAAGGUGUUGACUCCCCCCACCCCCUUCCUGGCUCAGGUUACAGGCUCAGGUACCCUCCCUCACCUAAAGUCAUCCCCUGCUCUCCCAUCCCCCUUGCAGAUAGUCCCAGUAAAACUAAAGGACGUUCCCAGGUCAAUCUGCCUUGCUCCCUACUGCAUCACAAGGUGCGGGCAGGGGGGGCAAAUGGUGGGGCAGGUACAGGCAGGAUGCUGGCCUGGGGGUGAAUGGCGGGGCAGGUGCGGGCAAGGGGGGCAAAUGGCAGGGCAGGUGCAGGCAGGGGGACGAACGAUGGGGCAAGUGCGGGCAGGGGAGGCGAAUGGUGGGGCAGGUACAGGCAGGAUGCCGGUGGGGGGGACGAAUGGCGGGGCAGGUACAGGCAGGAUGUGGGCAGGGGGAGCGAAUGGCAGAGC
Gopherus flavomarginatus (Mexican gopher tortoise) is the source of this 680-nucleotide long non-coding RNA. RefSeq lists it as uncharacterized. The record is from RefSeq and is a predicted model, not a curated record. The transcript is spliced from 3 exons. Lineage: Eukaryota; Metazoa; Chordata; Testudines; Testudinidae.